GGGGGUGGUCUUUGAUGUUCUGAUUAAACUUCAGGCUUGGUAGGAACUGUGUCCCUGCAUCUCCACAGUGUAGACUACACAAGUGCCCUCUCGCAGCUGUAGUACUAGUAUGUGUCUAGUAUGUAUUCCUGCAACUUCCCCUAGGGACUGUGUGGGGUUUUGUUCUUGUUUGUUUGGUUUGGUUCCCCCGCCGCUGUUCUUUUCCCCAGCUGGUUUGGGUUUCACCCAAUGGUCUAAGGGCCCCAGCUACCAAUUUUUAUUGUUUUUCCCCUACAGAUCAAGGUUUGUUCUCUACAGGGAAGAUGGGGGAGACACUUCUCUGCAAAUUUCCACAGCAGCUGGUGUUUCCCUCCCCCACCACAAGGAAAGCUUCUUCCAGAUUUUCCUCAGUCUUCUCUGUGAGCACCUGAAAUAACUCCUGAAUAUGCCACCUGUGAGAUAUGAGAAGGCUACAGAGAAGAAAUCUUUUUACCCCAUUUCCAUCAGUUUGAUAUUAGCAUCAAAGCAAAGCUCUGUGUUUGCCCUCUCUCAUCUCAUGGGACGGGACAUAGACUCCAGCAGGGCAACUUCCUGUGUCUGAAGGCAAUUCAUAGUGAGGGAAAGGAAAUCCCUGGCAGCUGUUAGAAGGAGCUGGGAGGGACACCUACCACAGUGUGACGUGAAAAGUGGUGCAUACGUAUGUGCCCGGGAUCCAAACCUGCAAACCCCGGGCCCGCUGGAUCAGAGCAUGCAAACUUAACUGCUGUGCCACCAGGACGGCCCCUUAUCAGUUUUUAUCUUAAAAAUAAAUAUCAGAUUUUAUUCUGUGCUUAUUCUUACACACGGUGCUUAUUUGUCAGUGCAUUCUAAAUAUUUUUACCAGUCACCAGUUUAUGAUUUUUUGUAAAUAACAAAUUAGUUCUAGAAACCGAUUGUUUAUAUGGUCCUUUCUGAACCUGAAAAUCAGGAAAAUCUCUCUUUAAACUUCUCGUGUUUCAUCACUGCGUUUACACACAUAACUCCAACUGUCUUCAUCUAUCUAUUCAUCUAUCUAUCUAUCUAUUUAUCAACAUUGAUUUUAUUCUAUCAAGAGUCAAAUGGGAGAAAAAUUUAUUCAUUUCAAUUGCUUAAUGCUAUUUUGACCAGAAGCCAUAAUUUUACAGUAAGUUCAAUAAGUUCAUCAAUUUGACUACUCGAGAGGUAACUAUUUUUCGUCCAAGUUGUAGACAAAAGUUUGUUCAGCAGCGAUCGAUGC
RNAcentral lists this long non-coding RNA (1234 nucleotides) under Equus caballus (horse). RNAcentral describes it as "lncRNA (ENSECAG00000053202.1)". The record is from RNAcentral. Lineage: Eukaryota; Metazoa; Chordata; Mammalia; Perissodactyla; Equidae.